GAAAUGCGAUACGCAAUGCGAAUUGCAGAAUUCCGCGAGUCAUCAGAUCUUUGAACGCAGCCCGCGCCGGUGGGAUAUCCUGCUGGCAUGUUUGUUUCAGUGUGUUUGAUUUGCAUCACAUAUUUCAAUGCGAUUGAAUUUUUUUACAAAGAUUCUCUCGUUAAGCACGAGCGUUGCGGCGCGGAGUUCGCAAACAAUUGCGCGCGCAUCCUGACGAAGCGGUCACUGUUCAGCAGUGAUUUCGUCGGAUCGCUGGUAAUUUAUUAUCAGUGCUGGCUUAUAAUUUAUUAUAUUCCAGGCACGCACAAGAACUCACAGGGGAAUUCACUUCCUCUCCGCACACUAUUUCAUUAAAAAUCUUCACUUUGCACCUGAAAUCAAGCAAGACCACCCGCUGAAC
Molecule: unclassified non-coding RNA, 400 nt
Filed under: uncultured fungus
Lineage: Eukaryota; Fungi
Description: sequence contains ITS1
Rfam family: 5.8S ribosomal RNA (bases 1-105)
Source: RNAcentral